UACGUUUGGUGCAAGCGUUUUUCGGAAUUACUGGGCGUAAAGGGCUCGUAGGCGGCCAACUAAGUCAGACGUGAAAUCCCUCGGCUUAACCGGGGAACUGCGUCCGAUACUGGCAGGCUUGAAUUCGGGAGAGGGAUGUGGAAUUCCAGGUGUAGCGGUGAAAUGCGUAGAUAUCUGGAGGAACACCGGUGGCGAAGGCGGCAUCCUGGACCGAAAUUGACGCUGAUGAGCGAAAGCCAGGGGAGCAAACGGG
RNAcentral lists this ribosomal RNA (253 nucleotides) under uncultured bacterium. RNAcentral describes it as "partial 16S ribosomal RNA". It matches the Rfam family "Bacterial small subunit ribosomal RNA", at positions 524 to 776 of the family's 1533-position model. The record is from RNAcentral.